RNAcentral lists this ribosomal RNA (301 nucleotides) under uncultured bacterium. RNAcentral describes it as "partial 16S ribosomal RNA". It matches the Rfam family "Bacterial small subunit ribosomal RNA", at positions 509 to 807 of the family's 1533-position model. The record is from RNAcentral.
CAGUCGCCACGGUAAUACGUAGGUGGCAAGCGUUACUCGGAGUUACUGGGCGUAAAGCGUGCGUAGGUGGUGGUUUAAGUCUGCUGUGAAAGCCCUGGGCUCAACCUGGGAAUUGCAGUGGAUACUGGAUCACUAGAGUGUGGUAGAGGGAUGCGGAAUUUCUGGUGUAGCAGUGAAAUGCGUAGAGAUCAGAAGGAACAUCCGUGGCGAAGGCGGCAUCCUGGGCCAACACUGACACUGAGGCACGAAAGCGUGGGGAGCAAACAGGAUUAGAUACCCGCGUAGUCCCUGUCUCUUAUAC